AUAUCCCGGUGUGCUAGUAGUCGUGGUUGAGACUGAGGUGCCUACAACGUGCUUUCGAGUCUAUGGGACUCUCGUUUGGUUGUUUGCUUUGACAGCUUGCUGUGUUAGUGGACGUAUCAGGCGAUUGAGAUCUGUGGUAACUUGUUGACGUUCGGGACUUUGACGAAAUGGAGCGAUCCGUCCCGUCUUGAAACACGGACC
RNAcentral lists this ribosomal RNA (201 nucleotides) under uncultured eukaryote. RNAcentral describes it as "partial large subunit ribosomal RNA". The record is from RNAcentral.